GCGUCGACCUAACACAUGACAAGUACGAGACGAAGCGCUUGUUUCAGAAUCGUCGGAAGGAAGAGGACAGUGACUGAGGCGGGCGGGACGGGUGAAGUAACCGCGUUGGGACCAACCUCGCCUCCAUACAGGGGGGAUAACAGUUAGAAAUGACUGCUAAUACCGCAUAAGCGCACAGGACCGCAUGGUGUAGUGUGAAAAACUCCGGUGGUAUGAGAUGGACCCGCGUCUGAUUAGGUAGUUGGUGGGGUAAAGGCCUACCAAGCCGACGAUCAGUAGCCGACCUGAGAGGGUGACCGGCCACAUUGGGACUGAGACACGGCCCAAACUCCUACGGGAGGCAGCAGUGGGGAAUAUUGCACAAUGGGGGAAACCCUGAUGCAGCGACGCCGCGUGAAGGAAGAAGUAUUUCGGUAUGUAAACUUCUAUCAGCAGGGAAGAAGAUGACGGUACCUGAGUAAGAAGCACCGGCUAAAUACGUGCC
This 484-nucleotide ribosomal RNA is filed under the name uncultured bacterium. RNAcentral describes it as "bacterial SSU rRNA". It matches the Rfam family "Bacterial small subunit ribosomal RNA", at positions 39 to 509 of the family's 1533-position model. The record is from RNAcentral.